GUGAGGAAUAUUGGUCAAUGGGCGGAAGCCUGAACCAGCCAAGUAGCGUGCAGGACGACGGCCCUAUGGGUUGUAAACUGCUUUUAUACGGGGAUAAAGUGCGCCACGUGUGGAGCAUUGCAGGUACCGUAUGAAUAAGGACCGGCUAAUUCCGUGCCAGCAGCCGCGGUAAUACGGAAGGUCCGGGCGUUAUCCGGAUUUAUUGGGUUUAAAGGGAGCGCAGGCCGGAAGCAAAGCGUGCCGUGAAAUGUAGAUGCUCAACAUCUGAAUUGCGGCGCGAACUGGUUUUCUUGAGUGCAUACGAGGUAGGCGGAAUUUGUGGUGUAGCAGUGAAAUGCUUAGAUAUCACGAAGAACUCCGAUUGCGAAGGCAGCCUACCAGGAUGUAACUGACGCUAAAGCUCGAAAGUGCGGGUAUCGAACAGGAUUAGAAACCCGGGUAGUCC
RNAcentral lists this ribosomal RNA (445 nucleotides) under uncultured bacterium. RNAcentral describes it as "partial 16S ribosomal RNA". It matches the Rfam family "Bacterial small subunit ribosomal RNA", at positions 354 to 796 of the family's 1533-position model. The record is from RNAcentral.